This 2718-nucleotide ribosomal RNA is filed under the name Triticum aestivum (bread wheat). RNAcentral describes it as "partial small subunit ribosomal RNA". Lineage: Eukaryota; Viridiplantae; Streptophyta; Magnoliopsida; Poales; Poaceae. The record is from RNAcentral.
AUGGCGCCACCACCACCCAAGAAUCCUAUCUUGUCCACAUACCACCUCCGCUUCCUCCUCCUUGCGUCUGCCGCCACCUUCUCCGCCGCCUUUUCCUCCCACUCCUACUCCUCCGCCUCCCCCUCCCUGGCACCCGCUGUUUCCUCCCACUCCUACUCCUCCGCCUGCCCCUCUCUGCCACCCGCUGCCGACCGCCACACCGACGCCGACGACGCCCUUUCACUCACCCGCUCAUUCCAGAUAGAGAACGGCCACUUCUCCGCCGCCACGGACAGCCUCUUCUCCGUCGACGGUCACCUCCACGGCAGCUAUCGCUCCUUCUCCCUUUACCCCCGCCAUGUCCUGCGCACCACCGACCCGACUCUCGUCCACCUCAUCGCCGUCAUCAUCCUCAUCGGCCCCCGGAGCGGUGAUUACGCCGUCGUCGAGGCCGCCGAGUCCGUCUCCUUCGACCUCGACGGUUACUACUCCUUCGCCUCGCUCCAACUCUGCAUGGCAGGGGCGGGGGCAGAGCGCGCUGCCAACGGCCGUCCAAAGUACUACGAGGCCGUCGCCCUCAGCCUCCGCAUCCCUAGCCCUUUCAGCCUCACCGAUCCCUUCGUGACCGGCAGCCUAGAUGGAUCCUCCGACUUCGAGCCCAUCCAGCUGCUCGCGUACGCGGACGGCCACGGCCACGACUACAAGUACCGCGAGCGCUCCCCUUGCGACCCACCGGUGCAGCUAGCCAGGGGCUCGCUCCGGGCGCUCGGCGGCAGCUACGCGUGCGCCUACUUGAAAGAGCGGCUCGUGACCUCGUACAGGCUGCUGGAUCACGAGGGCGGCUCCCCGGCCAAGCUUCCCUGGAUGCACGUCAGCCAGAUGCAGUGCAACGAGGACGGCGCCCUGCGCGCCUACAUGGUGGUCUCCAACGACACCGGGUCCGUGAGGCGUGAGCACCGUCAGUUCUACCACCUCCUGGCCGAUGAGGAGGCGCUCGUGGCCGACGGGCACUGGGACCCGGCUCAGGACAUGUUCUGCCUUAGAGCGUGCUGGGUGGCGCCGUCAACCCUGGCGGUGCGCGAGUGCGGGAUCGGGAUGAGCUUCUGGUUUCCGGCCACAUGGACGGUCCAUGAGCGGAGCGUCGUGGCCGGCGUGCUCUGGAACUCGACUCAGGGGAGGACCAGCAGCCUCGACGCCGGAGCAAUCUCAGGUGUGAUGUCGGCCUUCAGCAUGGACGACCACAGAAGAAACAUCUCCGACGUGCAGUACAAGUACAACGACACGAUGCUUGAGGUGGCCAAGAAACACUAUCUGAAGAUCAGCAAGGAGGAGAAGAUCAAGGGGUCCUUCCCAGUCCCGGGUAAACAUACCACUUACCAUGACUUGAGCCUCCGGUUCUGGAUGUUCGGGGCGAACAUUAACGCGGUUACCGUGAGGGGGGACGCCUACCCAGUCACGAUCGGCUCGGUGAUGACAGGAGAGGAAAUGCUCAUGACCACCCAGGUCGACACGAAGCACCUGCACGAUCCGCUGAACGUCAGCUACGACAUACACUAUUAUGCUCCACUGGGCAAUUCCUACUCGUAUAGUAGCCAGAAGGAAGAGCGAAGAAUCUCGGCCGAGGGCGUUUACGAUCCCAAGAAGGGCGUCCUGUGCAUGGUCGGCUGCGAACAGCGCGACGGCUCCAUGGACUGUCAGAUGCUGAUCACCGUGCAGUUCACCUCCCUGGAGGACAGGGCGGGGGGACUCGGUGGCGGCGGCGGAGCAAUCAGCAGCCUCAGGGACAGGUCCGACCGUCUUUUCUUCGAGAGGAAAAACAUCACUCUGUACGGGAUGUACGCAGAACAAGUGCCCGAGGCGAUAUCGAGGAUGGACUUGGAGAGCAUCAUGGUGGUGGCCUCCGUGACGCUGUCCUGCGUCUUCACCGCCCUGCAGAUCCUCCACGUCAAGAAGAACCCCGAGGCCGCUGCGGCAACGUCCAUCACCAUGCUCACCAUCCUCACCUUGGGGCACCUCACCCCUCUCGUGCUCAAUUUUGAGGUCAUUUUCCCUAGCAGGAGGAGCCAGUACGACCUGUACUCCACGGACGGGUCACUUGAGCUGAAUCAAGUGAUGAUGAAGGUGCCUACGCUGAUCGCCUUCGUGCUGCAGCUACGCCUUCUUCAGCUGGUGGUGGCUGGCCAUCUGAGCUCGGCCAACCAGAGUGAACCAGCGACCUCCGUGUCAGAGAAGACCGUGCUGCAGAUAUGCCUGCCACUGUACCUACUCGGAGGAGUCCUGGCCACGGUCGUCCACAUGAUCAAUGUCCGCUCCGAGGAGAAGUCACUGGUUGUUCGCAUCGGCGGAGAGGCGGCCACGCUCUGGGACGAGCUCUUGUCGUAUGCAGGGCUGGUACUAGACGGCUUCCUGCUCCCUCAGGUCAUCCUGAACGCGUCCUUGUCAAGCUCCAGAGUUCGAGCGAUUUCGCCGUGGUUUUACAUGGGGGGCACCAUGAUCCGCGUGGUGCCUCACGUGUAUGAUGUGGUCAGAAUGCAGAUCUACGCGCCGAGUAUGAGGCCCUCUGACAUAUACGCGAGCCCUGGCGGCGACCUCUUUGGUGUAGCGUGGGAUGUACUUAUAUUCUGUGGAGCGGCGUUGUUGGCAUCGCUCUUGUUCUUGCAGCAACGGCUUGGAUCCAGCACCUUAUCGCUUCCUUGGCAGAGGAGAUCGGGCGGAUGUGAGAUGGUCUCUCACAUCUAA